GGGAAGGUGGCUUAGUGGCAGAGUGCUUGCCUCGCAUGCAUGAGGCCCUGGGUUUGAUUCCCCAGCACAUCUC
Non-coding RNA from Dipodomys ordii (Ord's kangaroo rat), 73 nucleotides. NCBI's taxonomy places the organism in Eukaryota, Metazoa, Chordata, Mammalia, Rodentia, Heteromyidae. The record is from Rfam.